RNAcentral lists this unclassified non-coding RNA (407 nucleotides) under Hevea brasiliensis (rubber tree). Lineage: Eukaryota; Viridiplantae; Streptophyta; Magnoliopsida; Malpighiales; Euphorbiaceae. The record is from RNAcentral.
AUAUGCCUUGGGGGAUAUAUUAAAAGAGGAUAUUUCAGAUGUGGGUGCUCGAGAAAGUGAUUGCAUACUAGAUGCCAACUCAGCAUGAACUUCCUCAACAAGUGGGGGAAUGAAUGUCUUCAUGUAGUGUGUUGUUGAUGUGAAUGUCUCUGGGAUCUUCUUCGCCUGAGAUUUGUAAAGAUCCUUGUUGAGAACAUCCUGAAUUGACCAAGAAAGCACCAAGUCUACUAAGCCUCUGCCCAUGAUCAUCUUUCCCUUGUUGUUACUGUUGUUGUCCAUUUUUUCUUCGAUCUUUCUGGAUUGAUGUAUGUAUUACAAGAAAAGGAAGCAGAAAACCCAAAUGAUAGGAAGAAAGAAUCAAGAAAACCCGAAUGGAAGGAAGGAGAAAACCCAGAGCUACGAAAUUG